This 73-nucleotide transfer RNA is filed under the name Dermacentor silvarum. RNAcentral describes it as "transfer RNA valine (anticodon CAC)". It matches the Rfam family "tRNA". From Rfam's summary of the family: Transfer RNA (tRNA) molecules are approximately 80 nucleotides in length. Lineage: Eukaryota; Metazoa; Arthropoda; Arachnida; Ixodida; Ixodidae. The record is from RNAcentral.
GUUCCCGUGGUGUAGUGGUUAUCACGUGCGCCCCACACGCGCAAGGUCCCCGGUUCGAACCCGGAUGGGAAAA